CAUAGUUAAUCUGUUUCAGCAUUGUUCAGGUAACCGAUAUUAUUCAUACGACUGUUUAGAUGUAACUUGCUGCAGUUGUCUGCUGAUUUAUAUUUUGUUGAAGCUGACUGUUUGCUAGUUUAGCUAACAGUAGUUUCGUUUUAGAUGAUUAGUUGGUUGUUUUUCUGCUGUGGAGUUGUUGCAUGCUUGUCUAAGUUGAGUGUCUGCUUUUAACCUGAAAGCUUACUAGUACUCUUAUGGUCUUAUUUAUGAUUGGACUUAGGAGUGUACCUCAUUUAGGGUUACCUACUUCUUUUUUAGAGUACCGGAGUCUAUUGCCAUGUAAACCACAAUCAACCUACUUUGAUUUAUUCUGCUAUUUUUGCAGAUGUUUCUAUUUCAAGUGUUAGAGGAUCAACAUUUUCUCUGUUCUUCUCCAUCGGAAGAAAAGAUAUGGAUGAUAUUAGAGCACUCUCUCCAGAAACCUCUGAAUGAACUUUGGUCGUAGACCACUUUAUUGCGUUUACACAAUAUGGUUGAAAGAACUGGAAAUACAAGGCAUGGUUGGAUA
Molecule: non-coding RNA, 550 nt
Organism: Nelumbo nucifera (sacred lotus)
Lineage: Eukaryota; Viridiplantae; Streptophyta; Magnoliopsida; Proteales; Nelumbonaceae
Source: RefSeq, a predicted model, not a curated record